UUAAUUUCUUUUGCUUAGAUAUGCCAGCUUUUGUUUCUGUAGUUUGACAUAAAAAGCAGUUUAACAUUGAUAAGCCAUCAGUACUCAGAAUAUGCAUAAUCCGAGCUAUUGUUGCAGCCUUUGUGCUUCAUCAGUACUCAUAAUAUGCAUAAUCCGAGCUAUUGUUGCAACCUUUGUGCUUUUCCAAUUCUCCAAAUUUUUAGUGUCACUUUAAGCAAUUCUGAAUUUAUAAUCAUAAAUCACAAAGACAACAUUGAUAUUAGUACUUUGUGGGCGAGAUACAUUAUUCUGUUAGUAUGGAG
RNAcentral lists this long non-coding RNA (302 nucleotides) under Nicotiana benthamiana. Its description in RNAcentral is "long non-coding RNA (NBEN_LNC033126)". Lineage: Eukaryota; Viridiplantae; Streptophyta; Magnoliopsida; Solanales; Solanaceae. The record is from RNAcentral.